GACGAACGCUGGCGGCGUGCUUAACACAUGCAAGUCGAACGGUGAAGCGCCUUCCUUUUUGGUGGGUGUGGAUGAGUGGCGAACGGGUGAGUAACACGUGAGUAACCUGCCCCCUUCUUCUGGAUAACCGCAUGAAAGUGUGGCUAAUACGGGAUAUUCUGGGUCUGUCGCAUGAUGGGUCUGGGAAAGAUAUUGUUUCGGUGGGGGAUGGGCUCGCGGCCUAUCAGCUUGUUGGUGGGGUGAUGGCCUACCAAGGCGGUGACGGGUAGCCGGCCUGAGAGGGUGGACGGUCACACUGGGACUGAGACACGGCCCAGACUCCUACGGGAGGCAGCAGUGGGGAAUAUUGCACAAUGGGCGCAAGCCUGAUGCAGCGACGCCGCGUGAGGGAUGGAGGCCGUCGGGUUGGGAACCUCUUUCGCCAGUGAAGCAGGCCUGCCUCGUUUGUGGGUGGGUUGACGGUAGCUGGAUAAGAAGCGCCGGCUAACUACGU
This 493-nucleotide ribosomal RNA is filed under the name uncultured bacterium. Its description in RNAcentral is "partial 16S ribosomal RNA". It matches the Rfam family "Bacterial small subunit ribosomal RNA", at positions 28 to 506 of the family's 1533-position model. The record is from RNAcentral.